GCUUCGGAGCCAUCAGCCAUGGUACCGAGGUAACCUAGCUUCAUGGGACCACCCGCGGCGGCUGAUUUGGUCCCUUGCAGCCGAGCACAAGCGACACACGAGCAGAUCGGCGUCCUCGCCGGCAAGCUCGAGCACCACGCAGUGCAUUAGGCAACACAACAUCGAUCUCAAAGUGCGGGCCACCCAAUCGAUUGCCUUGCUUCCGAGUUGGAGCUUGGGCUCUUGGAACUAGUAGCAGUUCUGAUUUGCAGGGUCAAUGCCAGCAUUGGUGAAGUUGACACUGAAGAAGAAUGAGAAGAUGAAGAAGAUUUGUAAUUUUCAGUGACUUGUAUCUGUAUUUGUAGAAAGGAAUUUUCAGUGAUUUGUAAUUAUCUGUAUCUGUAAUGAGAAGAUGAAGAAGAUUUGUAAUUUUGUACUACUAAUUUAGUAGUACAAAAUUAGUGACAGGUAGAAGAGACUAAUGUGAUCCAAAAUUAGUGACA
Long non-coding RNA from Oryza sativa Japonica Group (Japanese rice), 482 nucleotides. RefSeq lists it as uncharacterized. Lineage: Eukaryota; Viridiplantae; Streptophyta; Magnoliopsida; Poales; Poaceae. The record is from RefSeq and is a predicted model, not a curated record.